CAGCGCCACGAGUGGCAACCGCGAUUAUUGGGCCUAAAGCGUCCGUAGCCGGUUUGGUAAAUCUUUUGUGAAAUUGUACAGCUCAACUGUACAGCGUGCAAGAGACACUGCCAAACUCGAGACCGGGAGGAGUCAGAAGUAUUCCAGGGGGAGCGGUAAAAUGUUAUAAUCCCUGGAGGACUACCUGUGGCGAAGGCGUCUGACCAGAACGGAUCUGACGGUGAGGGACGAAAGCCAGGGGAGCGAACCAGAUUAGAGACCCGAGUAGUCC
RNAcentral lists this ribosomal RNA (271 nucleotides) under uncultured archaeon. RNAcentral describes it as "partial 16S ribosomal RNA". It matches the Rfam family "Archaeal small subunit ribosomal RNA", at positions 477 to 747 of the family's 1478-position model. The record is from RNAcentral.